UCUAGAAGUAAACCAAAUAUGCAUACACGUUUGGUUCUGCAGUGAUGCAGAUUGGUAGAUGAAUGUGAUAUGGUUGCACAUGUUGUGAGCCCGUCGGUGUCGCCGCUCUUUUCGCUUACCCUAUAUGUAGCAGUAGUAGAUUGGUGCUUGAAGUACCAACCUGAUGUGCCCCGCCUAAUUGCCAUAAUGUCUCUCCCAAGUUUUU
Molecule: long non-coding RNA, 205 nt
Organism: Arabidopsis thaliana (thale cress)
Lineage: Eukaryota; Viridiplantae; Streptophyta; Magnoliopsida; Brassicales; Brassicaceae
Product: other RNA
Exons: 1
Source: RefSeq